GACGAACGCUGGCGGCGUGCUUAACACAUGCAAGUCGAACGGAAAGGCCCUGCUUGCAGGGUACUCGAGUGGCGAACGGGUGAGUAACACGUGGGUGAUCUGCCCUGCACUUCGGGAUAAGCUUGGUAAACUGGGUCUAAUACCGGAUAGGACCGCACUUUAGUGUGUGUGGUGGAAAGUUUUUUCGGUGUAGGAUGAGCUCGCGGCCUAUCAGCUUGUUGGUGGGGUAAUGGCCUACCAAGGCGGCGACGGGUAGCCGGCCUGAGAGGGUGUACGGCCACAUUGGAACUGAGAUACGGCCCAGACUCCUACGGGAGGCAGCAAUGGGGAAUAUUGCACAAUGGGCGCAAGCCUGAGGCAGCGACGCCGCGUGGGGGAUGAAGGCCUUCGGGUUGUAAACUCCUGUCGCUAGGGACGAAGCUUUGUUGUGACGGUACCUAGAUAAGAAGCACCGGCUAACUACGUG
RNAcentral lists this ribosomal RNA (466 nucleotides) under uncultured bacterium. RNAcentral's name for it is "partial 16S ribosomal RNA". It matches the Rfam family "Bacterial small subunit ribosomal RNA", at positions 28 to 507 of the family's 1533-position model. The record is from RNAcentral.